Molecule: ribosomal RNA, 823 nt
Filed under: uncultured bacterium
Lineage: Bacteria
Description: bacterial SSU rRNA
Rfam family: Bacterial small subunit ribosomal RNA
Source: RNAcentral
GUUUGAUCCUGGCUCAGGAUGAACGCUAGCGGGAGGCCUAACACAUGCAAGUCGAACGGGAUCCCCGAGCAAUCGGGGUGAGAGUGGCGCACGGGUGAGUAACGCGUAUGCAACCUACCUUUAACUGAGGGAUAGCCCAUAGAAAUGUGGAUUAAUACCUCAUAGUUCUAUUAAGCCGCAUGGUUUAAUAGAUAAAGCUCCGGCGGUUAAAGAUGGGCAUGCGUGACAUUAGCUAGUUGGUAAGGUAACGGCUUACCAAGGCUACGAUGUCUAGGGGUUCUGAGAGGAUGAUCCCCCACACUGGUACUGAGACACGGACCAGACUCCUACGGGAGGCAGCAGUGAGGAAUAUUGGUCAAUGGGCGCAAGCCUGAACCAGCCAUCCCGCGUGAAGGAUGAAGGCCCUAUGGGUCGUAAACUUCUUUUAUACACCAAGAAAAGUUCGGACGUGUCCGAAUCUGACGGUAGUGUAUGAAUAAGCAUCGGCUAACUCCGUGCCAGCAGCCGCGGUAAUACGGAGGAUGCAAGCGUUAUCCGGAUUCAUUGGGUUUAAAGGGUGCGUAGGCGGCUCUUUAAGUCAGUGGUGAAAUCUUGCCGCUUAACGGUAAAAUUGCCAUUGAUACUGAAGAGCUUGAGUACAGUUGAGGUAGGCGGAAUGUGUAGUGUAGCGGUGAAAUGCUUAGAUAUUACACAGAACACCGAUUGCGUAGCAGCUUACUAGAGUUCACUGACGCUGAUGCACGAAAGCGUGGGGAUCAAACAGGAUAGAUACCCUGGUAGUCCACGCCGUAAACGAUGAUAACUCGCNNUUGGCGAUACACAG